CUUUGGAAAAAGUCCUUAUUUUGCAACUUUAAGAUUGCUUGGAAUAUAGUAAACUGUUAAUACAGCAUCGGCAAGUUCAGAUUUUGUAAAUUCAACUCCUUCAGGUAUUCUAAAGUGCAUGGCGAGGCACACGGUUGGCGGUACCAGGACACAGU
This is a long non-coding RNA of Neodiprion fabricii, 155 nucleotides long. RefSeq lists it as uncharacterized. The record is from RefSeq and is a predicted model, not a curated record. NCBI's taxonomy places the organism in Eukaryota, Metazoa, Arthropoda, Insecta, Hymenoptera, Diprionidae. The transcript has 2 exons.